CUAUGGAGGAGUAUGGUGGCGGUAAGGAAGAGGAGGAGGGGUUACUAGGGUUAGGACCUCCUGUAGACUUCUUGGGUGUGAGGCUUCAUAGACAAGAGGGAGGUGUGGAGAAGGAAUAGGAGGCUUAGGGCUUAUGGAAGAUGAUCCCCCAAAAGGGGUGUGCAUAGCUAUGGAGGCUUUGAGGCAUAUUUAUAGAUCGGAAAGUAGGGCUCUAGGGUUUUGUGAUGCAUAAAAGGAUUGGGGUGUGAAGUCUUUGGCAUGAGAAUGGG
Molecule: long non-coding RNA, 269 nt
Filed under: Elaeis guineensis (African oil palm)
Lineage: Eukaryota; Viridiplantae; Streptophyta; Magnoliopsida; Arecales; Arecaceae
Description: long non-coding RNA (EGUI_LNC041085)
Source: RNAcentral